This 696-nucleotide long non-coding RNA is filed under the name Homo sapiens (human). RNAcentral describes it as "THRB antisense RNA 1". The record is from RNAcentral. Lineage: Eukaryota; Metazoa; Chordata; Mammalia; Primates; Hominidae.
CCCGCGGAGGCAGGUAGAAGAUUCUGAGGCCCUGGGCGGGAACUAGUAAGCCACAAUCUGGAAGAGUCUUUUACCACCAUGUGGAGGAGAACUAGAGCACUCAUGUUGAACUAUUACCGAGAAAAGUAAUCAACUUCUUUUGUGUUAAGUCACUGAAAGGUGGUGAUAACUUCUGGAAACACCAAGGACUAAAAAGGAAGGAAACUGCAGAAAGUGGGGGGCCACAGAAGCAGCAGCUCGCAGUCAUGUUCCAAGACUAGCAAUCCAUAAACAUUGCUUGCCCUGGGGGGGGGAAAAUAAAGAUUUCGCCAAUACUGCAUCUCUUCGAUUUUUACCCAUUUCCUUUACUUGGUCCUAUUUUUACUUGGUCAAAGAAACACGUGUAUCAUAUACUCAGAAUUUCCCCUUAAUUAUAAGUUUUUUACAAAAAGUCAAUAAAAGACAAAAUGGGAAGUGUUGAAGCACUGUCCAGAAACUAUAGUAAUAGCAAUAUAAAAAGAAGGGUAGUGAACUGACCUUAGCAAAUUUGCUCUGCCACUAAUUUGCUAGUCAAGUGACCCUAUUUUCCUGACUCUGUUUCUUUAGUAAAAUGUGGAUGUUAUCAUAGGUGACCGCAGAUCCUGAAGUUCCUUUGUGUGUGGGGGGGGGAGGGUGGGUGAGAUUUAAAAAUUUGAUUCAAAUAAAUUUCCAUUCGCU